Ictalurus punctatus (channel catfish) is the source of this 11504-nucleotide long non-coding RNA. NCBI's taxonomy places the organism in Eukaryota, Metazoa, Chordata, Actinopteri, Siluriformes, Ictaluridae. The record is from Ensembl.
UAUAUGCUAUUAUUUUAUAUUAUAUAACACAAUUGUUCCACUCUGUUUAAUGCACUUUGAACUGCAAUCAGCUGCUAUUUCUACCUGAACUGUACUAUAAAUUACAACUGAGACCACAAGUUUCUGCUUAAGAUGCAAUAUUUGGAUAUCAGAAUGGUAAUUGUGUUGUGUGUCGUGUUGUCUCAGAUAUGUGUUUUGUAAACUGGGUUGAAUGUAUCAUGUUGUGACCAAACACCAAGAAAACUUGCUAAUACAUGUAAAUGUAUAUGUUGAAUCAAAUCAUUCUGAUUGUAAAUUGGUAGGGAUUCUGAAAAGAACGCUUAGAGUGCUAAACCAGUAAGUGUUGGACCAAUACCCAUUCAAAGAAUCCUUGUUCUAAGAUUUUCAAAAAAGUAACUGUCUAGAGAACCUUUGAGGAACACGUGAGCAUUUUUACUUCAAAUCUUACUGAUAAACCUUAAUAAAAGAUACCCAUGGGAGCUAAUCAGGGAGCAAUAACUGAAAAUAGCACUUUGAUCACUUUGUUCUGCUGGAGAACCUGCUGUGGGAACUUGUCCUGAUCCAUAACUCUGAUCACAGAGAUGAGAAGUUGAGAAGAUGAGAUGUCAGGCAAGUGUGAGUGUGACUGUGGUAAUAAUGCUGCUGUCUGUUCUCACUGAGCUCAUCUUCACAAACCAGCCACCUUCCAUUCGUGUCUCUUGUAUUGUAUUAAAGCGUUUAUUGUCCAAUUUAUCAUGCUCGCUUUGUCUGGUCUGAGAAAAACACACUGCUGAGUAUGUAAGGGCUGGCCAGUUGUAACGCGUGUGGGAAGAAUAUUAAAUAAGCAGCAAGAAAAUCACACAAUGCCAUGCUGACAUGUAGGGACAUAUUCCGAGUCUGAAACAUAGGGAACGUACCUUGUAUUCAGAGUUGGGUUACACAGCUGCUUAAGUUGAUUUUCUGGGUUCUAUAGUACAGUCAAAUCACAUCACACCUCCAAGGUUACCAGAUUUUUUUCAAGGAGAAGUGUCCAAGAUGGGGUUCCUCAACAGCGUCUAGACCAGCACCUUUAAACACAAGCAGUUGCCUUUAAGCCUGAAAAAAAUCAAGUGUACAAAGUGGAAGCUCUUUAAAAAGCUAAAACUGUUAUUCAUCCAAAGAACCAUUGAAAAACCCUUUUUUUUUUUUUUUUUUUUGCGAGUGUAGAACCAGUAACCACCCAAAACCCUUUGAAGAACCUUUUUCUUCUUCCUACCUGUAAUAGUGUAGACCUUUGUUGACUUUGGAGUCAACAAGAAGCUUUGAAGCAUGUAGAACCAGUAACCAAACUCCACCUAGCUCCACUACUCCACCAUUUUGAAUAGCUCUUAAGUCUGUAGUUAUGUCUGAGGUAUAAAUGUACUGCUGAAAUUAAAUCAGUAGUGUUUUUAGUGUAAGACAAGUGGUUACCAACCAUGUUCCUCCAACCAUAAUCGUGCCCACGUGACCAUCUAAUCAUUAACUUAAGAAGUGCUUGAUCAACUAAAACGAGUGUGGUAGAUUGUGGUUGGAGAUGAAACCUGCAAGAAAGUAGAUCUCAAGGAAGAGGGUUGGUGACCACUGGUGUAAGAUAUGAGGUGUUUAUCAUAAAUUUCAAAUACCAUCAUACAGAUUUACUUCAUUAGAUCGCAUGUAAAUGGGUUGUUAAUUGCACCACAAUUUGCCCCCUGCUGUGUCUCUACAUAUCUUUUCUGCAGUUCGGGAGAUGUACAGUGACACGGCACGAGUGAUAUGACAGUCUUGUCAGUUUUCAACGAUGGCAAAAGAAGUGCACAUUGAGCCUGGAUUAAGAGUUUAAUGACUGGUAAAAUUGUAGCGCUUGCAUUCAAGGUGACCCCGCUGAGGCGAAGGCAGCCAGAGCAGCAAACGGAGGCUGUGGUGUGCUGACAAUAAUCCGUCCUGCCCUUUUUUUCUCUCUCUCUCUCUCUCUUUCUCUCCUCAUAGCUGUCACCUGCACCAUGCACCAUCACCAAGGCCCAAGCCAUGUAAUUACACUUUUAUUGGCUUUUGAGAAGACCGAACAAUUCAUCCACACGCGAUUCUGCGCUUAGAGACACGAGGCGAAGCGCAUAUAGAUCAUACUUACAGAUCACUCCAAGGGUACAGAGGGAAAGUGGAAAAAAGGAUUGAGUGGAGUGAGUUUGAAACAGGACUGAGUUUUGAUUUAGACCUCAGUGGUUGUAUUGGACGGAUAUCAAGGUUACGCAUGCUUAUCAGCGUCGCUGGAAAUCACACUGAUGGAGCAUGGAUAAUUCCACUUGCAACGUUGUAUUCUAGAAGCCUUUAUUUGUCACAUACACAUGAGAGCACAGUGAAAUUCUUUUUUUUGCACAUUCCUAACAAGCUGGGGUGAGAACGUCAAUCAAUGUCUCUGCCCCUGGAGCUGAGAGGGUUAAGGGCCUUGGUCAAGGGCCUAACUCUGGCAGCUUACAGUGCUGAGACUUGAACCCACAACCUUCUGAUCAGAAAACCAGCCUUAGGAGCAACGUAUACUUAGUAAUUUUUACAUGUACGUUAGCGUAUGUGCGCAGUCGUAUGCAUAGCGUUUCAAAGUAUACUCCAUUUGACAUGUAUGUGUAUGCAGGCAGUCGACAGUUACGCAUUACGACAACUUGUACUACCCUUCCUGGCCUACAAGAGUCAGUACAGAGCAAUAAAGCAGGUCUUUUAUUAUACCCAAUCAUGUUACUGACCUGUUGGCAAUUAACCUCCAGCCGUUUCUUUUUACGAACACUUACUUUCCCAGCAUUUAUUGCCCCCGUCCCAACUUUUCUGAAACGAUUUGCGGCCAUCGAAUUCAAAAUUACUUUAUUCUUUUUCUUAAAAUGGUACAUUUACCCAGUUUAAACAUUUGAUAUGUUUUCUAUGUUCUAUUGUGAAUAACAGGUGGGUUUAUGAGAAUUUGCAAAUCAUUGCAUUCUGUUUUUAUUGACAUUUUACACAGCGUCCCAUCUUUUUUGGAAUCGGAGUUUUACACAGAUGUAAAUGAAAACAGACAAACCGAAUUUUCCUCUGAAUACGCUAUUAAUGAGGAUGAACAACUGGCUGCUGGAAAAACUCAAGAACAAUCAUUCAAAUCUGUUGUUCCCUCGAGCAAGGACAACAUGCAAAUGGGAAUUGUCCGCAGAGUGCUAAGAAUGAAUACAACAUUAGGAAUAAAUAACUGAACUGGGAAACAAACUUCAAAAAAAUCAUAAAAUUGGGAAAGUUAGCUCGCUUAUUAGCAAAAUUAAUAAACUAAUUUUAGUAUUUACACACAGCGGUUAGCAUAACGUUAGCUCACUUCUGUUAAUUUUAGUAUUUACACACAGCGGUUAGCAUAACAUUAGAUCGCUUAGGCUAAUUUUAGUAUUUACACACAGCGGUUAGCAUAACAUUAGAUCGCUUAGGCUAAUUUUAGUAUUUACACACAGCGGUUAGCAUAACAUUAGAUCGCUUAGGCUAAUUUUAUUAUGUACACACAGCGGUUAGCAUAACAUUAUAUCGCUUAGGCUAAUUUUAGUAUUUACACACAGCGGUUAUCAUAACAUUAGAUCGCUUAGGCUAAUUUUAGUAUUUACACACAGCGGUUAGCAUAACAUUAUACCGCUUAGGCUAAUUUUAGUAUGUACACACAGCGGUUAGCAUAACAUUAUAUCGCUUAGGCUAAUUUUAGUAUUUACACACAGCGGUUAGCAUAACAUUAGAUCGCUUAGGCUAAUUUUAGUAUUUACACACAGCGGUUAGCAUAACAUUAGAUCGCUUAGGCUAAUUUUAGUAUUUACACACAGCGGUUAGCAUAACAUUAUAUCGCUUAGGCUAAUUUUAGUAUUUACACACAGCGGUUAGCAUAACGCUAGCUCGCUUCUAUCAAUUCUACCACGGUAGUUACCGGUAUACACUGUAACCCUACACUGGACAUGAGGUGGAACUACACCUUGAGGAUUAUAAUUUAUUAUUUUAUUCCCUUAAGAGUUUUUAUUCUAGCAACACAUCUAAGUUAUAAUGGAAAUAGUAUAAUGUUUGCAGCUUGGGCAUAUUUAGAGAAUGCUUCUGGUGAUCCAUUCCAUGCAUGGACGGAGAUGCCAACAUGUAGCUGUAGAAUUUACUAUUGCGGUGAUACUGGAGACACCUGAAACGUACACUUUUCUGCUUUUUCAGAUAAAGCAGCGGUAAGAUCUAUCACAAAUACCGUAUAAUUGGCAGAAAAGCAAACGUGAAAGGUGCUUUUGCUUCUCGUUGCAGCUACUUAUUUUUUUUCUUUACGACGACUUAUUGUGGGUGAGAUGUAAACUCACAAGCCUGAGCCAAUUCUCUCUUUGCUUGGUAAAAAAAGUGGAGAAGCUGCUAAUUAUUAAGUAGCAUCACAUUGGACUUUUGACUCGCUGUUUUCUUACACAUCUGAAAAAAAAAAAUAGCCAUGUCAUCCACUUUCAUAUGCUAAUAUAUUGUAAAAUUCUGUUGUUGUUUGUUUUUUUUUGUUUUUUUUUUUUAAAUCUAUGCUUGGUAGAAUUUUCUUGUUAACAAUAUUGGCACCUCUGCAAGGACGAUCUGGAAAAUCACCAAAGUACAAAAUUGGGUUGAAUCUAGUAUCCUAAUAACGCCUUAAACCCUACAGAAAAAAGUUGCACUUAGAUCUCCUUUAUAAAGCAACAACCCCCCCCAAAGACCCCUUGAGGAACCUUAUUACUAAGCCUGGACUUCUUGCUGUAGCUCUGACCUUUCCAGCUUCAUAGUUUUUCCCCUGAUAAAUGAAUCAGCAUGGAUGGUGUGAUGGUGUGAGCCGCAAAUGAACCGAUUCACUUAUUGUGUUAACAUUGCAGAACCAUGAUGUGUUUAGGAGUCAUGAGGAAGCACAUGUUUGAUGAUAUUACUUCAGGAUGUUACCGCAGGUCAGUUAUUUGCACUCAGCGUGGAUAGACAGGCAUUAGCGGGUACAAUAGUGACACCUGAGAGUCGGGCUUCGCCUGCCAGAGCCAGGCUCGACACCAUUAGCUGGGGUGAUGCAUUAAAGUUCUGUUCGGCGUGUAAUUUGUUUUCUCUGUCAAGGUGAUGGAUGUCUUGUUCAGCGGCACUUCCUGUGUGUGUUGUAAGAAAAUAAAUAAAUAAAGCGAGGAAGAAAACAAUAGCUCCAGGACAUUGGUAAAUGGGCUUAAAAAAUGUUAGGAGAAUAUUUAUAUAUAUAUAUGUUUUAGGUAACAGGGUGUGUGUUUUUUUGGAAGGUUAAUUGACAAGGAUAGCAGCAGGAGGGCUGGUGCCUGUAAUUAAAGGUGAAAAGGUAAUGUAAGAGAAGGAGAAGGAGGGCAGACAAGUGGCCUGAAUGACGUGCAGACUGGUGACAACGUGAUGUGAAUGGUUUCCUCUGGAUAUGUGAGUGUGAAUGAGAGGUGUGUUGUGGCAGGGGUAUUUAUCACCUGCCAUUCUCACUGUAUACCUGCAGCAUCUCACCUUCACAACACCUUCAGUGUCACAAAUGUCUCUCUCUCUCUCUCUCUCGUCCUUGCUCACCUCCAUCCAUUUUUUAUCCCUCAAUACUUCGCACAGUUUAAACGCUAAACUGGAUUGCCAGGUAUUUGCUGAAGCUGGGGUUUUAUGUAUUUAACACAUCUCGGCAAUCCCAGCAUUACACGUGUGACAUUUAAACUGGUAUCGGAGUGUCUAAUUGCCUGAACAAGCCUAGCAUGAGGAAGACAGUUUCACAAAUAUUUAACAUUACACCCCAGCGCUGUCGACUUCUUGAUUUCCGAUCGGUCAGAUGGUGAUUAAUAAUCUCCAGCAACAGCAGCUCUGACGGUAGUCAACUGCAAAUCACAGGUUUAUGCUUGUUCUAAUACAACCCCGAUUCCAAAAAAAGUUGGGACGCUGUGUAAAAUGUAAGCAAAUGUCAAUAAAAACCGAAUGCAGUGAUUUGCAAAUCGCAUCAAUCCAUAUGUUAUUCACAAUAGGACAAAUGUUUAAAGUGAGUAAAUGUACCAUUUAAAGAAACAGAUAAGGUGAUUUUGAAUCUGAUGGCCGCAACACGUCUCAAAAAAAGUUGGGACAGGGACAAAAAAAAGGCUGGAAAAGUAAGGGUUACUGAAAAGAAACAGCUGGAGGAACAUUUUGUAACUAAUUAGGUGAAGUAGCAGCAGGUCAGUAAGAUGAUUGGGUAUAAAAAGAGUAUCUUAGAGAGACAGAGUCUCUCAGAAGUAAAGAUGGGAUGGAAUCUGGAUGGAAGCAGAUGUUGCUCUAAAACAUGUAUAUACCUUUCAGCAUUGAUGGUGCCUUUCCAGAUGUGCAAGCUUUCCAUUCCAUAAGCACUAAUGCACCCCGAACCAUCAGAGACGCAGGCUUAUGAACUGAGCGCUGAUGAAAAAAGCCGGAUGGUCCCUCCCCUCUUUAGUCCGCUUUAGUUUAGAGGACACGGAGUCCAUAGUUUCCAAUAAGAAUUUAAAAUUGUGAUUCUUCUGACCACACAACAGUUUUCCACUCAGUCUCAGUCCAUUUUAAAUGAGCUUUGGCCCGGGGAAGACGAUGGCUUUUCUGGAUCAUGUUCACAUAUGGCUUCUUCCUUGCAUGAUAGAGCUUUAACCAGCAUUUGUGGAUGUCAUGGUGAACUGUGUUCACAGAAAGUGAGUUCUGGAGGUGGUUCUGAGCCCAUGCAGUGAUUUCCAUUACAGAAUCAAGCCUAUUUUUUGAUGCAGAACCUUACAAUUGGCUCUGUGAAGAAAUGUGUAUUUAGCAUUUGUGGAAGGAGUCUCCAAUGUCAGCACUGUACAGAAUUCAGAGGUAAAGGUGUAACUUUGUGGUUAAAAUUUUAAGGUGUCUCUAUGUAGUGUGCACUGAUAGACAGGACACAAAUGCAUUAACUCAGUGUGUGCUUUAUUUAAGACACUCCAAGAAUCAUAAUCAUUACCAAUGUCUGUAGGCAAAAUUAAACAAGGAUAAUCUACAAUAAAUAAAAAAAACAGACAAAGGUCAAGAUCGGGAAGUACAAAACUCAAAAACAUGGCUUGGAAUUAAAAUAACAAUAAAUGCAUUACAAUACUUAUGAAAGUAACUAUGACACAACUGAGUAUAAAUAUCCAUCCAUCCAUCCAUCCAUCCAUCUUCUACUGCUUACUCCUUUUAAGGGUCACAGGGAACCUGGAGCCUAUCCCAGGGAGCAUCGGGCACAAGGCAGGGUACACCCUGGACAGGGUGCCAGUCCAUCGCAGGGCACAAUCACAUACACACUCACACGGAGUAUAAAUAUAUGCAAGCUAAUUAAAGACUAAACACAGAACAGGUGAACACACUAGGGCAACAAACUAGAGACUUAACCAAAACAGAAAGAAAGACACAUGGCAAUGUAAACAAAAGCACAUGUUGUGAAAGCAGAGAAAGUAAAUAAAUAAAAACCGUUGGCCAAUUUCUUUAGUGUAAAAUGUAUAAAAAAUAAGUAAAUAAAAAUUAUAAGACAAUAAUUAACUUCCAGGAAGUAGCAGUAACUUCUCACACCACCGAACCAUGAUGAUUUCCCUGUAAAAACAUGUCCCCAAAUGUUUGUACUCUAUUCCUUACUUAUCAGCUUUAUGAAAGUGACAUUGCAUGGACAGAGUGAAAUUCAACCUUUGAAUAAGAUUAAGAUUAAGAUAUGUGUGUUGAUGUAAACAUAACUGGGAGAAAAAUAAAAUCUUGUAUUACAGGUGUGACACUUUUUUUCUUAAGAAUGGUCACAUGUCUGAAAUAUCCCUUCACAUAUUAUAGCCAUUACAUCUGAAAUAGAAAUAAAACAACGAGCUAAAAAUAAAUUAGCUUAAAUAUAGACUUAAGUGUACACUUUAAGACAGUACGGUUUACGUUAGACGUCCAGGUUUUAUUCAGUAGAUUAAAUAUUUAUGUGUUAUAUAGACAACAACAGUUUAUAGUCUACAGCAAACAUGGUGCAGUGUAGCUAACAUAUAAAUCAGUGGAUUACAUGCGGUAGCUUUUCAGCACGUGAUGGAAAAAAAGGAUUAUCGUGAGUGAAUUGUUGUGGAAGAAUUGCAAAUUCACUUUCUUUGUCAAUGAGUCAAGGACAUGGCUGUGAUUUUAAAAGUGGAUCGUUUGUUGUGUUUCGCAAUAAUGUUAAGCUCAAAAAGCAAACGGUCCUACUCUCAUGAGGAGUCCAGACUAGCAUUAGCCUACCAUGAGCUACCAUGACAGGAUAUUUAUUCAGGAUUUGUCAUAUACUAAUGAUAACAAGGUGGCAACUAGGCCACCUGAGUGUUUGUUUUUUUUUUCUUCUUAUGUACAAGACAUCUUGUUUUGUUGUGAUAUACAGAACGCUUACAUAAUCCGGGAUAAAUGUUUGUGCAGAAGAAUGCUCAUUAAACAUGAUAUUAUUCUGACAUGGAUUGGCACCCUGUCCAGGGUGUACCCCGCCUUGUUCCCGAUGCUCCCUGGGAUAGGCUCCCGGUUCCCCGGGACCCUGAAGAGGAUAAGCGGUAUAGAGGAUAGAUGGAUGGAUGGAUAGAUGGAUGGAUUAUUCUGACAUUCAUUUUGGUCAAAUAAGAAUGUUUACUUUACGUCGAGCAUGAACAAGUAUAGUCUGAAGUAUGUGUGCUAGUUUUAGCAGUUAUAAUGUACACAUAUAAUAUAUAUAAUUAUAUGUGUACACCAUGUCCAGUGUGUCCCCUGCCUUGUGUCCUGAGUUCCCUGGGUUAUGCUCCAUGCUUCACACGACCCUGUGUAAGAUAAGCAGCAUUGAAACCGGAUAGAUGAAUGGGAUGCCUGAAAUAUCAUUUUUGGACAAUUUCUACUAACACUCUACAUGAAAAUCUCCCAAUAUGUCCAUUCAGAUACGGUGUAUAAAUAGAAGCCACCCCCUUGCCUUUGACCUCAAAUCGAGCCCGACAUUUAUCUGUAUUAAAGCUAGAACCUUCAAUCCAUGAACCGGAUCAUGGAUGCUGCCACAUGCUUCUGUUUGUUUUUGUUCUUUUUCAUACUGAAAAGUGGAGGCAUGUGAGUCUACUGUCACGUAGCUUCUGCUUCAUCUCUGUUUACACACUGCAGAGAUAAUGUGUGACAACUGAAUCUCUUCACUCGUCUAAUCCAUGAAGCCACGGAUGAAAUCUCAUUUAGGGAUCAGCAGCAGUGGCAUCGUUUUCCCGAUAAGAACCUGCAACUCUGCAUGCAGCGGCUGGCACCAGCCAUUCAGCACAAAUACCAUUUGGCAGAGCCCAGGACGUAAAACAGCCCUAUUUCAAUUAAUGGAGCGACACCUCAGCUUCUCAGGACUGUGUUUGCCAGACUGGAUCGUGUCGUAUAAUCUCCUCAUUUAUUCUCAAAGCAGUCUAUUAAGGCGUGAAAUGAUGCCAACCAAAAAGAAAAAGCACGGCCUUCUCGAAGAGUCAAGGAUUAUUCAAAUGGGGAGCUCUAAGACAGUGGGUUCAGACUUUUUAAUUUUUAUUUUUUAUUUUUUAUUUUUAUUUUUUACUUUGUUCUUGCUUUCCUUUUUUUCAUGUGAGAAUGGAGCCACGUCACAAAUCAGAACAUCUGGCAGCUUGAGAUGAGUUAAAACAAAAUGGAAAAUGUUGCCAUCCAGUGUAUUGUGAACAUAUGAUUAAACCAGAGACAUUUUUUUUGAAAGAUUAUACCCUUCAUAUUGUCAAAUCGCAGGUUUAUAUUAAUGUGUACACUCUAAUAUGUUAUCAUUUCUAUAGUAACGACUCGUUCACAGGUGAAUACUCUACAUAAACGGAUUAAAAAUGUCUGCAAUUGUACUGAUAGUGCAGUUUUAUAUAAGGAGGAGUCUCCAGUGUCAGUGCUUGUAAAAGUCAGAGGUAUAGCUGUAACGUUGAGUUUUUACACCUUCAAGAAAUAGAUGUUUACGUUUUUGGCUUUCCCCUGGCAAGUGCACAACCAUGCCAAACAUUUGGUGUUUUCCCACUACAUACUGUAAACUCCACCACACUGCCUGUUUUCCAUACAUCCUAAUAACCUGCACCUCUUCCGUUAUUCCACACUGCAUGCCAAGCCAGCUUCUUCCAGGAUGCAAUGAAAUUCUUAAGGAACCUGUCACUUCCCAUGAAGCUGAACUCCGGAGAGAUGCUACUCCUCGGAGGAGUGAAGUGACUCAGGCAGCCUGACUGACUGUUGAUGGUCCUACUCAAUCUUCGCCAUGCACAACUAGCUGCUGACUGGCAUUGCGCGGAACAGAUCACCCUGAUGGCACUAUUUGCACAACGAUUACUUUGCCGCAUGUUUUGAAGAGAGGCCAAGAUUUUUGGCUCUUCUUGAAGCAGUCUAAAUAAUGCACUUCACUAAUGGAGACAAAAUCACUCGGUUAUUAAAGUGAAUUUAUAAUGAUGCAACAAGCAAUUAGCACAUUUACACAGCAUUUCGUGUAAUGAAUCUCAUGAAAUAUUGACUUCACCAGUUGCUUCAUCUUUUUUGUUAGAGCUCUGCGGUUAGCGUUUAGCAGCUACUGAUUGCACAUAGAUGCACAUGAAAGCACAGAAAAACAUAGUCUGUGUAAGGAAUGAGACACUUCGGGAUGUGCUGUUACGGGGAAAUAAUCAACGACAGGGUUGAUGUGAGAAAGUAGAGUUACUGUUCCUACCCAACAAAAGAUUAUUUUCCACCAACAACAGCAUGUCGCAAAGUAUUUUAUUCUUUUAUACCACAGGCAACUUUCUGAUGAUUGCAAUACUUUUUUUUUUAUCCGUUUAUAAUUGCAUUUAAUGUUGUAAAGACAGCAUAUCCAUGAGCUGUCAGUAAACUGUGGCUGUGAUGAAAGAAUUGUUUCACCCCAUCAGAGAGCUUGGUCUGGGUUAGAACAUCUGGGCAGCAUUGAAAAUUGUCAAUUCGAGAAGAUUCCAAACUGCUGUUUUGAUACGAUUUGACUGGUUCCAUUACUACAGAGUAAGAGUGAAUAUAAAAGAGCUAUUUGUCCGAGCCAAACUGAAAUUGCAUGUAAAAAAAAAAGCUGUAAAACUUAAUGAAAGAUAAAGGGCAUCCUACUGAGUUCAACAGCACAAAGCUUUUCUACUGACACACAUCUCACUCCUUUCUGAUCUUAGGAAAUCCAUCAUAAAAGCAUGAAAAUGGUGACGAGCUGUACGAAUGGAUACCUGAUCAUAAAUAAUUCAGAGCUAAGCUGUGCAUGUUGAAGUGGAACACAAUAAGGAGAGCUCCAUGUGUGUUAAAGUGUGCGUGGAUGUGCAAGAAUAGCUGCUUGAAGCAGUGAGGGGAAAAAAAAAACAACAUAACUUUCUUUUACAUCAUGGUGUUUGCCUUCACACAGUCGCCCACGGUGGCAGGAGCUCUUUCUGAUACCCUGUAGCUCUCCCUUAUGGAAGCUGUUUAAGGAAGGAGCAUUAUUAAGGGAGGGUUGUUUUUGUUUCAGAGGAUGAUGUCCCUGUAGCUGUGUUCUCUCUCGCAUUGCACUGAUCUCCAUCUCCCCUCCCAGAUGGUUAUAUUUGGCUUGCUCUCAAAAGCAUAUGGCUUCUUUAUGUUACCCAUACUACUGAAACACUGCAGCUUCAGAUUAGAGUGGCUGGCAC